GCCGGUGCGGGAUGAAGGCCUUCGGGUUGUAAACGCUGUCGUAGGGGAGGAAAUGCAAGGGGUACUCCCUCCUGUUUGACCUAGCCUAGGAGGAAGGACGGGCUAAGUUCGUGCCAGCAGCCGCGGUAAGACGAACCGUCCAAACGUUACUCGGAAUUACUGGGCUUAAAGGGUGCGUAGGCUGCGCGGAAAGUUGGGUGUGAAAGCCCUCAGCUCAACUGGGGAAUUGCAUUCAAAACUACCGUGCUCGAGGGAGACAGAGGUAAGCGGAACUCAAGGUGGAGCGGUGAAAUGCGUUGAUAUCUUGAGGAACACCGGUGGCGAAAGCGGCUUACUGGGUCUCUUCUGACGCUGAGGCACGAAAGCUAAGGUAGCANACGGGAUUAGAUACCCCGGUAGUCUUAGCUAUAACCGAUGAGCACUUGUGUGAAGGGUCCUCCAUAGCCUUUCAGACGUAGCGAAAGUGUUAAGUGCUCCGCCUGGGGAGUAUGGUCGCAAGGCUGAAACUCAAAGAAAUUGACGGGGGCUCACACAAGCGGUGGAGGAUGUGGCUUA
This 555-nucleotide ribosomal RNA is filed under the name uncultured bacterium. RNAcentral's name for it is "bacterial SSU rRNA". It matches the Rfam family "Bacterial small subunit ribosomal RNA", at positions 396 to 948 of the family's 1533-position model. The record is from RNAcentral.